This 253-nucleotide ribosomal RNA is filed under the name uncultured bacterium. RNAcentral describes it as "partial 16S ribosomal RNA". It matches the Rfam family "Bacterial small subunit ribosomal RNA", at positions 524 to 776 of the family's 1533-position model. The record is from RNAcentral.
UACGGGGGGGGCAAGCGUUGUUCGGAAUUACUGGGCGUAAAGGGCUCGUAGGUGGCCAACUAAGUCAGACGUGAAAUCCCUCGGCUUAACCGGGGAACUGCGUCUGAUACUGGAUGGCUUGAGUUCGGGAGAGGGAUGCGGAAUUCCAGGUGUAGCGGUGAAAUGCGUAGAUAUCGGGAGGAACACCGGUGGCGAAGGCGGCCUUCUGGACGGCAACUGACGCUGAGGCACGAAAGCGUGGGGAGCAAACAGG